CCUACGCGUGGCAGCAGUGGGGGAUAUUGCACAAUGGGGGGAACCCUGAUGCAGCUACGCCGCGUGGGUGAAGAAGCGCCUCGGCGCGUAAAGCCCUGUCAGCAGGGAAGAAAAUGACGGUACCUGAAGAAGAAGCCCCGUCUAACUACGUGCCCGCACCCGAGUUAAUACGUAGGGGGCAAGCGUUAUCCGGCUUUACUGGGUGUAACGGGGGCGCAGACGGGGAUGCAAGCCAGGAGGGAAAGGCCGGGGCCCAACCCCGGGACUGCUCUUGGAACUGCGUGGCUGGAGUGCAGGAGGGGCAGGCGGAAUGCCUGGUGUAGCGGUGAAAUGCGUAGAUAUCAGGAGGAACACCGGUGGCGAAGGCGGCCUGCUGGACUGCAACUGACGUUGAGGCCCGAAAGCGUGGGGAGCAAACAGGAUUAGAUACCCUUGUAGUC
Molecule: ribosomal RNA, 440 nt
Filed under: uncultured bacterium
Lineage: Bacteria
Description: partial 16S ribosomal RNA
Rfam family: Bacterial small subunit ribosomal RNA
Source: RNAcentral